This 329-nucleotide unclassified non-coding RNA is filed under the name soil metagenome. Its description in RNAcentral is "partial contains 5.8S ribosomal RNA, internal transcribed spacer 2, and large subunit ribosomal RNA". The stretch from base 1 to 120 matches the Rfam family "5.8S ribosomal RNA", at positions 35 to 154 of the family's 154-position model. The record is from RNAcentral.
GAUGAAGAACGUAGCGAAAUGCGAUAAGUAGUGUGAAUUGCAGAAUUCAGUGUAUCAUCGAAUCUUUGAACGCACAUUGCGCCCCUUGGUAUCCCGAGGGGCAUGCCUGUUCGAGCGUCAUUUCACCACUCAAGCCUGGCUUGGUGUUGGGCGACGUCCCCUUUGGGGACGCGCCUCGAAACGCUCGGCGGCGUGGCACCGGCUUUAAGCGUAGCAGAAUCUUUCGCUUUGGAAGUCGGGGCCCCGUCUGCCGGAAGACCUACUCGCAAGGUUGACCUCGGAUCAGGCAGGGAUACCCGCUGAACUUAAGCAUAUCAAUAAGCGGAGGA